AAACAGUUCGUUCUCCAUCUGGACCUCUUCCUUGACAGAUUUCGUUUCGUCCCCCUCAUGAUUUUUUCUUUUUUUUUGGCAAAGACUUUGUUUUCCAUUCAAAAAAUCAAAAGGAUUACAAAGAUUAAGAGUUCAUCCAAAGCAAGGAAUAUUACGACAUUGAAAACAUUGAUAAGAACAAACAGUAGAUAAGAUAGUUCGACGGCAGUUCGAAGACUCCAAAACAUGCGCGGUAAAGCAACUUGCCACAUGCAAGUAGAUGGUGAGUCGAGACCACAUCUACGGACAAACGGGGAAGAUGGACAAACGACGUA
Molecule: long non-coding RNA, 314 nt
Organism: Arabidopsis thaliana (thale cress)
Lineage: Eukaryota; Viridiplantae; Streptophyta; Magnoliopsida; Brassicales; Brassicaceae
Product: other RNA
Exons: 1
Source: RefSeq